AACGCGAAGAACCUUACCUACCCUUGACAUGCCAGGAACCCUGCUGAGAGGUGGGGGUGCCCGAAAGGGAACCUGGACACAGGUGCUGCAUGGCUGUCGUCAGCUCGUGUCGUGAGAUGUUGGGUUAAGUCCCGCAACGAGCGCAACCCUUGUCACUAGUUGCUACGAAAGGGCACUCUAGUGAGACUGCCGGUGACAAACCGGAGGAAGGUGGGGAUGACGUCAAGUCCUCAUGGCCCUUAUGGGUAGGGCCUCACACGUCAUACAAUGGCGCAUACAGAGGGUUGCCAACCCGCGAGGGGGAGCCAAUCCCAGAAAGUGCGUCGUAGUCCGGAUUGUUCUCUGCAACUCGAGAGCAUGAAGUCGGAAUCGCUAGUAAUCGCGGAUCAGCAUGUCGCGGUGAAUACGUUCCCGGGUCUUGUACACACCG
This 430-nucleotide ribosomal RNA is filed under the name uncultured bacterium. RNAcentral describes it as "bacterial SSU rRNA". It matches the Rfam family "Bacterial small subunit ribosomal RNA", at positions 958 to 1392 of the family's 1533-position model. The record is from RNAcentral.